GCGUGCGGCACUCCCCAUUCCCCAACUCCCUCGGCAUCGGCGGCGCAUCCAGGUCCUGCGCGCCUGCAGCGCCGCCCCGCCCCUGCCACCGUCGUCCGUCGCCAGUCGUCUCCACCUCCCCUCGUCUUCCUCCUCGCCAUCUCUGCCGGCGGCGCCGACGCCUCGCUGUCUCGGCCGCCGCACCACCUCCACGCGGCGACGCGGCGACGCCGGUCGCUGCACCACCUCGACGACCACGCAGCAACACUGGCCGCCGCACCACCUCCACGCGGCGACGCCUGCCGCCGCACCACCACCACGCACCGACACGGUGACGCCGGCCGCCGCACCACCUCCACGCGCCGACACCUGCCAUCUCAACUCAACGAUUCAGCAUCUCGACAGAUCUGUGAUGGAUUCCUCACAUGCAACUAUGCAAGUAGCAGCGGUGCAAGUGUAUGCUGUGCAAAUGUAGCUUAUCUGUGA
RNAcentral lists this long non-coding RNA (465 nucleotides) under Oryza sativa Indica Group (long-grained rice). Its description in RNAcentral is "lncRNA OsLiXu_12g0011630". Lineage: Eukaryota; Viridiplantae; Streptophyta; Magnoliopsida; Poales; Poaceae. The record is from RNAcentral.